GCUGGGUGUGGUGGCUCAUGCCUGUAAUCCCAGCACUUUGGGAGGCCGAGGCGGGUGGAUCACCUGAGGUCAGGAGUUCAAGACCAGCCUGACCAACAUGGAGAAACCCCGUCUCUA
RNAcentral lists this small RNA (117 nucleotides) under Pongo abelii (Sumatran orangutan). Its description in RNAcentral is "Metazoan signal recognition particle RNA (ENSPPYG00000036517.1)". The record is from Rfam by way of RNAcentral. Lineage: Eukaryota; Metazoa; Chordata; Mammalia; Primates; Hominidae.